GCCAGGCAUGGUGAUGUGUGCCUGUAAUCUCAGCUACUCAGGAGGCUGAGGUGGGAGGAUUGCUUGAGCCUGGGAGUUCUGGGCUGCAAUGCCUAUGCUGAUCAGGUGUCCACACUAAGUUCAGCAUCAAUAUGGUGACCUCCCGGGAGCAGGGGACCACCAGGUUGCUUAAGGAGGGGUGAACCAGCCCAGGUCAGAAAUGGAGCAGGUCAAAACUCCUGUUCUGAUAAGUAGUGGGAUCAUGUCUGUGAAUAGCCAUUGCACUCCAGCCUGGACAACAUAGCAAGACCCUGCCCCC
Molecule: signal recognition particle RNA, 298 nt
Filed under: Saimiri boliviensis boliviensis (Bolivian squirrel monkey)
Lineage: Eukaryota; Metazoa; Chordata; Mammalia; Primates; Cebidae
Description: Metazoan signal recognition particle RNA (ENSSBOG00000001800.1)
Rfam family: Metazoan signal recognition particle RNA
About the family: The signal recognition particle (SRP) is a universally conserved ribonucleoprotein. It is involved in the co-translational targeting of proteins to membranes.
Source: RNAcentral